AUUGAACCCUGGCGGCAGGCCUAACACAUGCAAGUCGAGCGGAUGAAGGGAGCUUGCUCCUGGAUUCAGCGGCGGACGGGUGAGUAAUGCCUAGGAAUCUGCCUGGUAGUGGGGGAUAACGUCCGGAAACGGGCGCUAAUACCGCAUACGUCCUGAGGGAGAAAGUGGGGGAUCUUCGGACCUCACGCUAUCAGAUGAGCCUAGGUCGGAUUAGCUAGUUGGUGGGGUAAAGGCCUACCAAGGCGACGAUCCGUAACUGGUCUGAGAGGAUGAUCAGUCACACUGGAACUGAGACACGGUCCAGACUCCUACGGGAGGCAGCAGUGGGGAAUAUUGGGCAAUGGGCGAAAGCCUGAUCCAGCCAUGCCGCGUGUGUGAAGAAGGUCUUCGGAUUGUAAAGCACUUUAAGUUGGGAGGAAGGGCAGUAAGUUAAUACCUUGCUGUUUUGACGUUACCAACAGAAUAAGCACCGGCUAACUUCGUG
Molecule: ribosomal RNA, 484 nt
Filed under: uncultured bacterium
Lineage: Bacteria
Description: partial 16S ribosomal RNA
Rfam family: Bacterial small subunit ribosomal RNA
Source: RNAcentral